AUAAUGGGUCAGCGACUUAUAUUCUGUAGCAAGGUUAACCGAAUAGGGGAGCCGAAGGGAAACCGAGUCUUAACUGGGCGUUAAGUUGCAGGGUAUAGACCCGAAACCCGGUGAUCUAGCCAUGGGCAGGUUGAAGGUUGGGUAACACUAACUGGAGGACCGAACCGACUAAUGUUGAAAAAUUAGCGGAUGACUUGUGGCUGGGGGUGAAAGGCCAAUCAAACCGGGAGAUAGCUGGUUCUCCCCGAAAGCUAUUUAGGUAGCGCCUCGUGAAUUCAUCUCCGGGGGUAGAGCACUGUUUCGGCAAGGGGGUCAUCCCGACUUACCAACCCGAUGCAAACUGCGAAUACCGGAGAAUGUUAUCACGGGAGACACACGGCGGGUGCUAACGUCCGUCGUGAAGAGGGAAACAACCCAGACCGCCAGCUAAGGUCCCAAAGUCAUGGUUAAGUGGGAAACGAUGUGGGAAGGCCCAGACAGCCAGGAUGUUGGCUUAGAAGCAGCCAUCAUUUAAAGAAAGCGUAAUAGCUCACUGGUCGAGUCGGCCUGCGCGGAAGAUGUAACGGGGCUAAACCAUGCACCGAAGCUGCGGCAGCGAC
Molecule: ribosomal RNA, 599 nt
Filed under: Escherichia coli
Lineage: Bacteria; Pseudomonadati; Pseudomonadota; Gammaproteobacteria; Enterobacterales; Enterobacteriaceae
Description: partial 23S ribosomal RNA
Rfam family: Bacterial large subunit ribosomal RNA
Source: RNAcentral